UGGGAAAUCAAGGUAAAGGGAUGUCUGUG
Molecule: non-coding RNA, 29 nt
Filed under: Rattus norvegicus (Norway rat)
Lineage: Eukaryota; Metazoa; Chordata; Mammalia; Rodentia; Muridae
Source: RNAcentral